CCAAAUCAAUUAUAAAUAACAUAAAAUUAGUGAUUAAUCAACCAAAAUAACAUUUAAUAAGCAUAAAAUUCAUACGAACUUACAUCGAUACCACGAUCAUUUUAAUGGAGUCGAAAACUAAUCCAACACCAUAGCUUUGCCCCAGUUCAAAUCCGAUUAUUGUUUUCUUGAUCUAAAUAAUAAUUUAACUCAAAUAAAUAUCUAAAAUAACUUCAAAUAUUCAAUUCAUACCCAUAAUCCAUAUUAAGCUACAAUUACAUGAUUACCC
RNAcentral lists this long non-coding RNA (268 nucleotides) under Gossypium barbadense (sea-island cotton). RNAcentral's name for it is "long non-coding RNA (GBAR_LNC017823)". Lineage: Eukaryota; Viridiplantae; Streptophyta; Magnoliopsida; Malvales; Malvaceae. The record is from RNAcentral.